AGGUCACUUAUUUGGGGAUGAUGAAGAGGACACUAGCCAAUAGAACCAAGGUUUCAUCUGUCUUUGCCAUGAGGACACUCAAGGAUGAUUUGACCCAGAUGAGACAAUUCAGAAGAAAGAGAAAACCCUGGGCUCCAUCCAAACCAUCCGAAGCCAAAGGCACCUUCAUGGUCUCUGGGGCAAUAUCGUUUCAAACAAUUCUGUCACAGAGGUGGAGGGAAUUAGACUUGGGGGCUCCUAGGAUCAUCAGCUGCUACACUCUGCUACCAGAGCCGUGUCUGAUCUCCCAAACCCAUGGAAGUCCUGUACAGCUACAUUAGAGGACUAAGCAGUUG
This 335-nucleotide long non-coding RNA is filed under the name Mus spicilegus (steppe mouse). RNAcentral describes it as "lncRNA (ENSMSIG00000016209.1)". The record is from RNAcentral. Lineage: Eukaryota; Metazoa; Chordata; Mammalia; Rodentia; Muridae.